RNAcentral lists this transfer RNA (57 nucleotides) under Ovis aries (sheep). It matches the Rfam family "tRNA", at positions 8 to 63 of the family's 71-position model. Rfam says of the family: Transfer RNA (tRNA) molecules are approximately 80 nucleotides in length. Their secondary structure includes four short double-helical elements and three loops (D, anti-codon, and T loops). Lineage: Eukaryota; Metazoa; Chordata; Mammalia; Artiodactyla; Bovidae. The record is from Rfam by way of RNAcentral.
UGGCUCAGGUGGUAAAGCAUCUGCCUGCAAUGCGGGAGACCCAGGUUCAAUUCCUGG